This 155-nucleotide small RNA is filed under the name Crocodylus porosus (Australian saltwater crocodile). RNAcentral's name for it is "TUC338 (ENSCPRG00005001085.1)". The record is from RNAcentral. Lineage: Eukaryota; Metazoa; Chordata; Crocodylia; Crocodylidae.
CUGACAGCCCUAGAGAAUGCUGUCCUCUAUUUAUUCACAGAACAGGUGCAGCACAGGAAGUGACAGUGCAAGCAUGACCCUGCCUGCAUGCCUCAGACCUGCUCUGGAGUGUAAGGGGGCAGACUGGCUUUUGUACCCAUUCACAUCUGGCUUCC